This 497-nucleotide ribosomal RNA is filed under the name uncultured bacterium. RNAcentral's name for it is "partial 16S ribosomal RNA". It matches the Rfam family "Bacterial small subunit ribosomal RNA", at positions 28 to 507 of the family's 1533-position model. The record is from RNAcentral.
GAUGAACGCUGGCGGCGUGCCUAAUACAUGCAAGUCGAGCGAACGGACGAGAAGCUUGCUUUUCUGAUGUUAGCGGCGGACGGGUGAGUAACACGUGGAUAACCUACCUAUAAGACUGGGAUAACUUCGGGAAACCGGAGCUAAUACCGGAUAAUAUUUUGAACCGCAUGGUUCAAAAGUGAAAGACGGUCUUGCUGUCACUUAUAGAUGGAUCCGCGCUGCAUUAGCUAGUUGGUAAGGUAACGGCUUACCAAGGCAACGAUGCAUAGCCGACCUGAGAGGGAGAGAGGACACAAUGGGAGUGAGACAGGAAAAAGACGCAUGCGGGAGGGAGCAGUAGGGAAUGGUCGGAAAUGGGCGAAAGCAUGAAGGAGCAAGGCGGAGUGAGUGAUGAAGGGCUUAAGAGCGUAAAAAUCGGUGAAGAGGGAAAAACAGAUGUGUAAGUAAAAGUGCACAGCUUGACGGUACCUAAUCAGAAAGAAAAGGAUAACGAAGUG